This 72-nucleotide transfer RNA is filed under the name Ictidomys tridecemlineatus (thirteen-lined ground squirrel). RNAcentral describes it as "Spermophilus tridecemlineatus (thirteen-lined ground squirrel) tRNA". It matches the Rfam family "tRNA". From Rfam's summary of the family: Transfer RNA (tRNA) molecules are approximately 80 nucleotides in length. Their secondary structure includes four short double-helical elements and three loops (D, anti-codon, and T loops). The record is from Rfam by way of RNAcentral. Lineage: Eukaryota; Metazoa; Chordata; Mammalia; Rodentia; Sciuridae.
UGGGAUGUAGCUCAUUUGGUGGAGUGCUUGCAUUGCAUGCACAAGGCCCUGGGUUGAUCCCCAGCAUCCCCU